AGUGAACGCUGGCGGUAGGCCUAACACAUGCAAGUCGAACGGCAGCACAGUAAGAGCUUGCUCUUACGGGUGGCGAGUGGCGGACGGGUGAGGAAUACAUCGGAAUCUACUUUUUCGUGGGGGAUAACGUAGGGAAACUUACGCUAAUACCGCAUACGACCUACGGGUGAAAGCAGGGGAUCUUCGGACCUUGCGCGAUUGAAUGAGCCGAUGUCGGAUUAGCUAGUUGGCGGGGUAAAGGCCCACCAAGGCGACGAUCCGUAGCUGGUCUGAGAGGAUGAUCAGCCACACUGGAACUGAGACACGGUCCAGACUCCUACGGGAGGCAGCAGUGGGGAAUAUUCGGCAAUGGGCGCAAGCCUGACGGAGCAACACCGCGUGGGUGAUGAAGGUCUUCGGGUCGUAAAACCCUUUUAUUGGGGAAGAACAAAAGUGUAAGAAAAUCCGCACGUUUUGACGGUACCCAAUCAAAAAGCACCGGCUAACUACGUG
Molecule: ribosomal RNA, 492 nt
Filed under: uncultured bacterium
Lineage: Bacteria
Description: partial 16S ribosomal RNA
Rfam family: Bacterial small subunit ribosomal RNA
Source: RNAcentral